Molecule: long non-coding RNA, 880 nt
Filed under: Homo sapiens (human)
Lineage: Eukaryota; Metazoa; Chordata; Mammalia; Primates; Hominidae
Description: HSALNT0308750
Source: RNAcentral
GUUUUUGUUGGUCCUGGUCCAUUUUUGGGAGUGGUGGUUACUCUGUAACCAGUAACAGGGGAACUUGAAGGCAGCCACUUGACACUAAUGCUGUUGUCCUGAACAUCGGUCACUUGCAUCUGGGAUGGUUUGUCAAUUUCUACAAAUAAAAGCAGGGAGAAACCAGUGAAGCCCCAGUCCUUGGAGACAAGAUUGGACAAGUCCUCCUCUCUAGGUCUGGUACAUAUUCGAAUGAUCGCUUACAUGAGAAAGGUAUUUCUUCUCGAAAGAAUACAGAGAGAGCUUUUAGAGGGAUGGGGCAGGCAUCUCAAUACCAUUUCCUAUUUUUGAGAUGGUUGCUUCAUUCACAAAGAAGCUACAUUCCACAAGCAGGUGUCUCUUCCUACUUUAUCAACUCAUCCAUUCUUUUCCCACAAAUACUUACUGAACACUCUCUAUGCCUGUCGUAUUGCAGACAUGCGGAAUAUAUCGACAAAACUGACUGAACUUCCUGCCCUUGGGGUGCUUCCUUCUUUAUCUGGCUCAAAACUCUGUUCGCUGCAGGUGCUAGCUGCAGGUUGUUGCUCAUUAAAAAGGAAAAUCUAUUCUACAAUUAGAAAAAUACCUUGGGAGAACAUUGCAAAACAGUAUCUGAAUAAGUAAAAGCUGGUGUCACCCCAGAGUAGAAGUUUGUACCUGUUCGGUAAUUAAUGGAAAUUGGCUUGCUGCUUGCGGGGCUGUCUCCACGGCCAGUGACAGCAUACACAGUGAUGGUAUAAUCAACUCCAGGUUUAAGGCCGCUGAUGGUAGCUGUAGACUUGCUCCCAGGCACAGUGAACUCCUGGACAGGGCUAUUUCCUCCUGUAUGAAAAAGGGUUAGUUCAGAGUGUGAGGGGUUUAG